UCUUACAGAUGCUAGAUUUGCCUAUUUCCUCAUGGAACAUUUAACCUCUCGUCCCUGCUAUUUCCUGCAAACUGAAAGUUAACUCUAGAGCUUGACUGAUAGCUUCAGAUUAAAAAUUUUUGCAUUUGUAUUUGCAGAAGAGAAGAUUUACUUCCUCUGUGGGUAACCAGGUUAUCAGGCUUGGUGUUUUCCAAAGAAAAGCUGGGUAGAUUGCAUUAGGGGCUGGAGCCCCAGGCAUGAUCUGUCUGUCUCGCUAGUGCCACAGUUAUGCAUGUUGUGUUCCUCUAGAGUGAGUUUCAGCAAAGGUGAGUG
This 312-nucleotide long non-coding RNA is filed under the name Papio anubis (olive baboon). Its description in RNAcentral is "lncRNA (ENSPANG00000041159.1)". The record is from RNAcentral. Lineage: Eukaryota; Metazoa; Chordata; Mammalia; Primates; Cercopithecidae.